GAUGAACGCUGGCGGCGUGCCUAAUACAUGCAAGUCGAGCGAACGGACGAGCAGCUUGCUUCUCUUAUGUUAGCGGCGGACGGGUGAGUAACACGUGUAUAACCUACCUAUAAGACUGGGAUAACUUCGGGAAACCGGAGCUAAUACCGGCUAAUAUUUUGAACCGCAUGGUUCAAAAGUGACAGACGGUCUUGCUGUAACUUGUAGAUGGAUCCGCGCUGCAUUAGCUAGUUGGUAAGGUAACGGCUUACCAAGGCAACGAUGCAUAGCCGACCUGAGAGGGUGAUCGGCCACACUGGAACUGAGACACGGUCCAGACUCCUACGGGAGGCAGCAGUAGGGAAUCUUCCGCAAUGGGCGAAAGCCUGACGGAGCAACGCCGCGUGAGUGAUGAAGGCCUUCGGAUCGUAAAGCUCUGUUAUUAGGGAAGAACAUAUGUGUAAGUAACUGUGCAGAUCUUGACGGUACCUAAUCAGAAAGCAACGGCUAACUACGUG
Molecule: ribosomal RNA, 497 nt
Filed under: uncultured bacterium
Lineage: Bacteria
Description: partial 16S ribosomal RNA
Rfam family: Bacterial small subunit ribosomal RNA
Source: RNAcentral